RNAcentral lists this unclassified non-coding RNA (745 nucleotides) under Hevea brasiliensis (rubber tree). Lineage: Eukaryota; Viridiplantae; Streptophyta; Magnoliopsida; Malpighiales; Euphorbiaceae. The record is from RNAcentral.
ACGGGCAGAAGAUUUACGAGCUUCAAGCAGCUCCUUCAGCCGCUUGGUGGCCAUUGCAGCCUCUUCUGUCUUUCUCUGAAGAACCAUUUUUUGGCGCUGGUUUAAAGCUUGUAGCUUAUGCCUUUCAUAUUCAUUUCUUCUCCCUUCCUUUCGCAACUGCAGCAGUUCCUUUUCCCGAGAGGCUUUCCAUUGUCGAAAUUGUUCUGCCUCUUGUUUGAUCCUAUGUUGCAACUGAACCUUUUGUGCCUUUAUGGAUUGAAUUUCAUCCUGUAAUCUCUUUGCUGCUUCAUCACUCUUCUGUUUUUGCUUUAAAAGCUGAACCUGGUUCUCUUGCUUUUUCUUAAGAUCCAGAAUCUGUGCCUCAAGUGCUUUCAAUUUCUGGGCAUGGAUAUCUUGCAAUUUUUGUGUCUGGCCAUCAGAACUAGCCGAGAGAUUUUCAAUUUCAGCCAACAAACGAUCCCUCUCUUGCUGCACAGCUUUCUUUUCAUCCUCCAAUUCCAUAAUUUUUUUUCCGAAGUGUUGCUUGAGUACUGCAGUAUCAACCCCUCCAAAAAGUUUCAUCUCUGACUCUUUCUCCUCUAAACGCCUAUUCAAUUCAUGCAACUCCUUGUCCAUUGUAUUCUGCAGAAGGGUGUGCUCCCACUCUUUUGCUACCUCUUCAUCAAUUUCCCUAGAAUCACCAGGCAAGGUUUCUCCCAUUUGAUAAUCUGUUGACUCUAUACUAUGCAGACUCCUUUUAAGCCCA